CGGCCUAGCCUGGCCUAGCAGCCCGCAGCCGGGCCCCGCCACGCUCCAGGCGCAGGCCGCAAGGGGCGGGCCUGGCUCGGCUCCGCUCUCCCGGGCGCAGGCGCCGGCGUGAGGCCGAGGCUGUGCCGGCCGGGCACGGCGGCUCCAUGCGCUGCCAGGUGACGGUGCUGUACUUUGCCAGGAGCGCUGAGCUGGCGGGGCUGCGCUCCGAGAGCGUUUCCGUGCCGCAGCGGCUCACCUCCCUGCAGCUCUGGGAAGAAAUUGUUAAGAUCCAUCCAAGGCUUGCUGUCAUCCGGGAUCAAGUGAUUUUUGCUGUUCAGCAGGAGUACGUGCUUCUUGGAGAUCAGCUCCUGGUCCUGCAGACAGGAGACGAGGUUGCCAUCAUCCCACCAAUUAGUGGAGGCUGAAUUUAUGCAACUUCUGUUAGGUCCAGAGAUGUGAUGUGCAGUUCUCCCAAAAAAGCAUAACUUGUAUUUCCUGCUGGAGAGAAUCAGUGUGCUUACCAGAAACUAUAAGGGAAGGAGCCUAUAUGCAUUAGAAAGAGGUCGAUCCAUGAUAUUUCCACUUGAU
Molecule: non-coding RNA, 570 nt
Organism: Anas platyrhynchos (mallard)
Lineage: Eukaryota; Metazoa; Chordata; Aves; Anseriformes; Anatidae
Source: RefSeq, a predicted model, not a curated record